This 360-nucleotide transfer-messenger RNA is filed under the name uncultured Campylobacter sp. It matches the Rfam family "transfer-messenger RNA". Rfam says of the family: Bacterial tmRNA, also known as 10Sa RNA or SsrA, is named for its dual tRNA and mRNA-like properties. Its role is to liberate the mRNA from a stalled ribosome. To accomplish this part of the tmRNA is used as a reading frame that ends in a translation stop signal. The record is from RNAcentral. Lineage: Bacteria; Pseudomonadati; Campylobacterota; Epsilonproteobacteria; Campylobacterales; Campylobacteraceae.
GGGAGCGACUUGGCUUCGACAGGAGUAAGUCUGCUUGGAUGGCAUGUCGCUUUGGGCAAAGCGUAAAAAGCCCAAAUAAAAUUAAACGCAAACAACGUUAAAUUUGCUCCUGCUUACGCUAAAGUUGCGUAAGUUCAGUUGAGCCUGAAAUUUAAGCCCAUACUAUCUAGCUUAAUUUUCGGUCAUCUUUGAUAGUGUAGCCUUGCGUUUGACAAGCGUUGAGGUGAAAUUAAAGUCUUAGCCUUGCUUUAAGUUUUGGAAGAUGAGCGAAGUAGGGUGAAGCAGUCAUCUUUACUAAGCAUGUAGAGGUCUUUGUGGGGUUAUUUUUGGACAGGGGUUCGAUUCCCCUCGCUUCCACCA